RNAcentral lists this ribosomal RNA (743 nucleotides) under uncultured bacterium. Its description in RNAcentral is "bacterial SSU rRNA". It matches the Rfam family "Bacterial small subunit ribosomal RNA", at positions 8 to 796 of the family's 1533-position model. The record is from RNAcentral.
AGAGUUUGAUCCUGGCUCAGAACGAACGCUGGCGGCAGGCUUAACACAUGCAAGUCGAACGCACUCUUCGGAGUGAGUGGCAGACGGGUGAGUAACGCGUGGGAACGUACCUUUCGGUUCGGAAUAACCCAGGGAAACUUGGGCUAAUACCGGAUACGCCGGAAACGGGAAAGAUUUAUCGCCGAAGGAUCGGCCCGCGUCGGAUUAGCUAGUUGGUGAGGUAACGGCUCACCAAGGCGACGAUCCGUAGCUGGUCUGAGAGGAUGAUCAGCCACACUGGGACUGAGACACGGCCCAGACUCCUACGGGAGGCAGCAGUGGGGAAUAUUGGUCAAUGGGCGCAAGCCUGAACCAGCCAUGCCGCGUGAGUGAAGAAGGCCUUAGGGUUGUAAAGCUCUUUCAGCGGGGACGAUAAUGACGGUACCCGCAGAAGAAGCCCCGGCUAACUUCGUGCCAGCAGCCGCGGUAAUACGAAGGGGGCUAGCGUUGUUCGGAAUUACUGGGCGUAAAGCGCGCGUAGGCGGGUAUUUAAGUCAGGGGGUGAAAUCCCAGGGCUCAACCCUGGAACUGCCUUUGAUACUGGAUGCCUGGAGUUCGGGAGAGGUGAGUGGAAUUCCGAGUGUAGAGGUGAAAUUCGUAGAUAUUCGGAGGAACACCAGAAGCGAAGGCGGCUCACUGGCCCGAUACUGACGCUGAGGCGCGAAAGCGUGGGGAGCAAACAGGAUUAGAUACCCUAGUAGUCC